AUGGCCUGGUGGAAAUUAUGUGUACCAAAAAAUCAAGGAGGGAUGGGAUUUCGUGAUGUUCGCUAUUUCAAUUUGGCAUUGUUAGCCAAACAAGCAUGGCGUCCUUUGGAUAAUCCUGAUUCUUUGUGUGCUUCUAUCCUAAGGGCAAAAUAUUACCCCUAUGGCGAUCUGUUAAAUGCUAAGCUUAAGAAAGGUUCUUCCUUUACAUGGCAAAGCAUCAUGACAGGCAUAAAUACUCUGAAACAUGGUUAUAUUUGGCGUGUGGGGAACGGACAUAACAUUAAUAUUUGGGAAGAUGCGUGGAUCCCAAACUAUGUCACUAGGAAAAUUGUAACACCUAAGGGAGGUAACCUGUUAACUAAGGUAGGUGAUCUCAUUGAUCUGUCUAAUACUUGGGAUGAAGACCUGAUUAGGCAAACUAUGUGGCCGAUCAAUGUACAAAGGAUUCUCUCAAUUCACCUACCGCAAUAUGAUAUGCAAGACUUCGUUGCCUGGAAUUAUACAAAAAAUGGAAUAUUCUCAGUUAGGUCAGCCUACUAUGUGGAGUUGAAUCACCAGUAUGGAAGUAAAUUGGAACACUCUAAUGGUAUGAGGCGAACCACAGUUAAUCCUAUUUGGAGUAAGAUAUGGAAAUCAGCAUGUCCGGCAAAAGUUAAAAUAUUCUUAUGGCGUACGCUACAUGGUACUAUCCCGUGCAGAGUUACGCUAGCUAAUAGACAUAUGAAGGUUUCACCCAUCUGUCCAAUUUGCUAUGAGGGCUUAGAAGAUACAAAACAUAUGUUGUUCUGAUGUACUAAAGCAAAGGAGGUUUGGAAAAGACUGGGACUAAAUGAUAUCAUUGAAAAAGCUUGCGAGAUUGAUCGUGCGGGAGAGGCGGUGCUGGAAUACUUACUAAUCCUACCAAAUCAAGAUUUGUGGAUAUUGGGUUGCCACAAUGUACGUGAGAUGAUUGCUAUCUCAGCAUGGUACCUAUGA
RNAcentral lists this ribosomal RNA (975 nucleotides) under Triticum aestivum (bread wheat). RNAcentral describes it as "partial small subunit ribosomal RNA". Lineage: Eukaryota; Viridiplantae; Streptophyta; Magnoliopsida; Poales; Poaceae. The record is from RNAcentral.